RNAcentral lists this long non-coding RNA (226 nucleotides) under Elaeis guineensis (African oil palm). RNAcentral's name for it is "long non-coding RNA (EGUI_LNC081141)". Lineage: Eukaryota; Viridiplantae; Streptophyta; Magnoliopsida; Arecales; Arecaceae. The record is from RNAcentral.
CUGGGCAUGGGUGUGUCUAGCCUGAAUCAUUUGAAAUAUUCAAAUGAUUCAAUAAUGAAAGAUUAAAACAAACCGGAUAAGAUGUUAGAACUCUCCGAUCAGAUCAAGGAGGUGAAUACUUAUCCAGUGAGUUUGUGAUAUUUCUAGGAGAGAAUUGUUUUCUCUCUCAGUGGAUUCCUUUUUGCAACAAAGUGUAUCUAAAAGGAGAAGUUGAACUUUGUUGGAC